CGCCGGCAGCUUCUGCUUCGCCCGCCGCCGGCAACUACUGCCGCCUUCGUGCGCCGGCGCCGCACUGCGCACAUCUACUAUACUGGAUCCCCACUAGCGCCAUGCCAGUCUGCUCCCAAGUGCGACAUCAAGGCUAACCCUAGCCUUGUGGCUCGGGCUCACCGAGGCGGCUCCGACACCUCGAACUCGUCUGCGCCCCCCCUCCAUGGACGCCUCCACCAGUUCCACGCAGCCUCCCUAGCACCACGCCUCCUAGGAAGGCCCAGCGGCAACCCUAUUUGUAUCGCUCGGGCUGCCGGCGCUGCUUCCAGCACCAGCUCCUUCGGCUGCACCUUCGACGCCCCCGAGAUCCUCUCCGUCGACCUCGCCCUCUGGUGCUCCUACUGGUCCACCACGACGCCCUCUCCUUCAACCUUGAGCAUACCAUGAUGCCUCGGCCUCCCCUGGUUUCAUGUGCUCACUCGGCUCUAUAAUGGUGCGACUAUGGUGGUACGACUCUGGUGUUGGCCUGGGCUGGCCUUGGCCUUUUGCCCGCUGGUUGCUGUGAUGACACCUUCGUCAACAUCCAUUCAGGCUAGCACAUCAAGCACAUCUGCACCGGCCAGAGCAAGAACAAUCAACAUUGAACAUCUCGUCGGCACACCAGACUCAGCUGCACUUCGAACUGAUGUAAUUGGACCUGCAGCUACUGUAGUUGCACAUGGGAUUUUAGUGGAUAUGCAACCGAGUUUGUUUUCCAAAUGUUUCUGUUUGUUGCAUGGAACUUGGGUUUUCCUGUCUAUCAAAGUUGAUGGUUUGUAUGCUCAUUGGAUCUCUGAAUCUAACUUAGUUGUCAUAGGGAUUGUUGUCCUUGAUUUCAAGGACCUAAGUUUUUUUUCUUGUAAUCUAAGUUGUUUCAAGUUUGUUCUUUGUUGCAUACAAAUGGGAUCUAUGAAUCCAACUAA
This is a long non-coding RNA of Lolium rigidum, 944 nucleotides long. RefSeq lists it as uncharacterized. NCBI's taxonomy places the organism in Eukaryota, Viridiplantae, Streptophyta, Magnoliopsida, Poales, Poaceae. The transcript has 2 exons. The record is from RefSeq and is a predicted model, not a curated record.